This 1955-nucleotide long non-coding RNA is filed under the name Linum usitatissimum (flax). RNAcentral's name for it is "long non-coding RNA (LUSI_LNC006361)". The record is from RNAcentral. Lineage: Eukaryota; Viridiplantae; Streptophyta; Magnoliopsida; Malpighiales; Linaceae.
UCGGGUUCUUCUGCUUCACUUGAAGAACUUGACUGAGACGAAACUGUUGGUGAUGAGGAAGAUGUUGAAGGUGAUGAGUGAGGUGGUGUAGACGAAGGUGAUCAAUGAGGUGGCAAAGGUGGUGGUAGGACGACCUCUAGGUUGACGAUGGGAAGACCUUCGAGUUGAUGGUGACGAGAAAACAGAACUCGAGGAGGUGUCAGAUUGUUCAGCAAAUUCCGAAGCUGGCAUUCACUAAUUCGACUAGAUUGUCUCAUAUACCAAACCUAAAUCCUGCACAUCCAAAAACAACAAACCAAAGUGACACACAAACAAAACAACAAAGAGAAAGGGAAAACAAAAACUAGAACCGAGUUAAAUGUCUAAAUCGGCGCCGACUAAGCCCUUUCAAAGGAAUGAGUGAGAGUCCCCGGCAACGGCGGCAAAAACUUCAUCGCCAAAAUAACUACGAAAUUAUCUCGACAACACAAGUGUCGUAUGUGUCAAAGGAUUCCUCUCGUUAUGUUUUUACUCGAACUUAUCAACAAGGUCUAGACUGAACAAAUUGAGAAGGGCUUCUAAUGAUUCUAUUGAUUCAAUUAAAACUAAAAGUUAUGGUUUUAUCAAAAGGAGAAAACAAGUUAUGGGAAGGGAUGAUUCAUCAAGCUCAAUUUCUAAUAGUAAUCGGAUCGAGCAAACAUUGGACUUGGAUUGAAUAAUACGAUUCCUCUUAUCACUCGUAUGAAUCUGUGGCACGAUCAUGCACGCGGAUUACCACUACUAGCUUCCCAAUCAAGGUUUGAAUAACCUCCAUUAGGCUAACCAGUAAUGAACACCGAGAAGUUCUACAAAGUGAUAAGGUGCUCUUAAGAAUUAAAAGAAAUCACAAGUAAUUGGAAUUACUGUUAACUUGUGUAACACCCAUACUACUAACAUGUUCGUUUUAAAUAAAACAGCGAAGCAAUAAUAGGGUGCUACGCUACUUAUACCGUAUAUAUCAUUUAAUCUUUACACCCAUCCGAUUAAUUUCUUCAUCAUAAUCCAGGAUUGUGCUUAUAUGUACUCAAAUAAUUAAUUCGUCAAUACAAAAACUGCUCAAGAUGUCAUAUAUGACUUAUUGACUUUUCACAAUAUAGUACACUAUACCAGAAGUCCAGCAGGACACAUAUACAUAUAGAACAGAAGUCUCGAGCUUCACAGGCUCGGACCAGAGUAACCAUAUACUUGCCCUCUCGGCCACUAUAUUUUACAAAACCAUAUCUCAAAUUGUACAAGUACACAACCACUCAUAACAUAUGCACAUUAUGGAAGUAAGAGUCUCAAACAAACUUUAAAUACAAAACGAGGAUCAAGACACAAUCUUCGAUAUCUACCUGGCGUCGUCACCAUGAUGACCGACCCCGGAGCUCGAUGAUACCAUGUUGCAGUGUGUGACCCAGUAAAACCUACUGUCGCUCUGAAAUGGAAAGUAAGGGUCAGUGCUAAUCAAUGAGUGAGGAUCUACGUCCUAGUCACUCUAUGGUACAAAUAUUCAUAUAAGAGGUAUACAACAUAUAACGCAUAAGGCUAAUUCUAUAAUCUAAUUUAUAUUAUACGGGCCCUAACUAGGUGAUCAAUCAAUUACCAGAUUUAUUCCAUAAUCAGUAAUAGCUACUGCUCAUAUUAACACAUUAUUAAAUCAGAUAUAUCAGCAAAGUAACAGAACGUGUAUCAUGUUAAGUAAUAAAUAUGAUAAAGAAUCAUAUAAAAUCUUAAAAUUAAAUGGACAUUACCCUAUCAUGCAUAUAGCCUUAAUAAUAAUAAAAUCAUAAUGGAACGUCUAACCCGGUCGGAUACGCAGGAGACCCUCACCAGAAAUAACCCUUGAGAAAACCGGUAAUAACUUCCGAGUUGAGAUCGUACGUAAUUCAAAGGACUUGAAUUAUGAACCAAGUAUAAGGCACUGGCUUCUUCUAUAUUUUCUCUGUUUAAGUUUC